Non-coding RNA from Callithrix jacchus (white-tufted-ear marmoset), 16976 nucleotides. NCBI's taxonomy places the organism in Eukaryota, Metazoa, Chordata, Mammalia, Primates, Cebidae. The record is from RefSeq and is a predicted model, not a curated record.
GGGCGGGGCGGGGCGGGGCGCGCGGCCGGGGCUGGCGGGAAGGGGGAGGGCCGCCGGCGGCCUGACCGUUCUCCUCCUGCAGGGACGCGCAGCCGGGACCGCCACGCGCAGUGCGGGGUUAGGAGGGCGGGGCCAGGGGACAAGAAGGGAGGCGCCCGGACGCUUUCAACGGUCCAGGUCUGCGGAUGGAGCGCGGACCUACCCCCUCACUGUCCCCUUCCGCAGUCAGCGCCAGGCGCCAGGGAGCUGUCCGCCCCGGUGGUUCUGAACCAGGCGCUGCUGAAACGCUCCAGGUUUUGGUGUUGGUGCUGUUAACAGCUAAUUUCCUUGGAUCCAGAAGCUGGAUUUUUUUGGAUCUUAGAAGCUGGCUUGACAUUGAAGUCUGUCAAAGAGAAUUUGCAUCUGCUUUUCACAGCAUCCUAGAGGUGCUACCAGUUUGGUACCACUUUGAAUAUAUUUAUCUAUUUGUGAUUUUUGGUGGCUGCAGAGGUUCUGUGAAUUUGGACUAAAAACUCUUGUAAUAUCUUAGUUAUAUAUUUUCAGAGGAAUUUUUUUUCUGUUUUUUUUUUUUUUUUGCCAGCACCAAGUCUAGAUAGAGACAGGAUCUAGCUAUGUUGCCCAGGCUGGAGGGCAAUGGUGUGAUCAUGACUAAUUGCAGCAUGAAACUCCUGGGCUCAAGUCAUCCUAUUGCCUCUGCUUCCUUAGUGACUGGGACUACAGGUAUAUGCUACCACACCCAGCUAAUUUUUAAAUUUUUCUGUAGAGACUGGUUCUCACUAUGUUGCCCAAGCUGAUCUUGAACUCCUGACCUCAAGCCAUCCUCCUGCCUUGGUCUCUCAAAGUGCUGAGAUUACGAGCAUAAGCCUCUGCACCUGGUCCUCUUUUAAUCUUUAUCCUACUGACAUGUCCUGCAAGUUACAACGCCCAUGCUCUGACAUGACAAAAGUGAGAAGACAACAGCUUUAAGGUCUUUGCUCAGUAGGAGUAAAGAAUCCUGGAAGGGACUAUGCCAUUUGAGGUGGAAACAGGUCCUCAAGGCAGAAACUCAUUUAGAUUCAAUGCCCUUGUGCUUUAGGGACUCCUCUAUUUAAAGCUAGAGUAUUCUUGGGUGGAUAGUUAUUAGCAAGGAUGAUGUUGAGGGAGGGUCACUAAUAGGAGAAACCUUAUGACCAACUUUGCCCAAGAAAAGCCCGAACUAGCCUGGAUAAGCGCCGUGCCCCUCUGACAGUCAGGAAGCACACCUUAAAGGCAAAGGCCCUACCCUCUGGACUCCAUGCCUGACACAUGCGACCCCCACCACCUGCUCACAGGGAAUUGGACCAUGGGUGGGUGCCUUUCCCAGAACCAGCUAAUUUAUAGGCUAGCUUUUCAUCUAUAAGGGCAGGAGAGUCAGGCAACUCAAUGCCACUUGGAUGAUGGGCAUGAAGUGAAUCACUCAUAUCCUCUCUCAAGGGGUUUGAAUGUGAAACAGACACAAGAAAAGUGUAUUUAUAGGCAGCAGCAGGAGCAAUAGGACAAUGAAAGAGAGGAGCUGAUUCACAACAUGAAGGAAACUGAGAGGAACAAUGGAGGGCUGUGAUGUUCCCAAGGCUGCUGGCAAGCUGUGAAAACUGCUGCUGAUCCUGAAGGGUGAAUCUGCCUUGAACAUUUUCAAUUCCUUCUAUUCCCAUGUUGUUUUUAGAAUCGUGUUUUAAAGAAAACCGGUCCUUGAUCUUGGUGCUCAUUACCAGAAUAUGUGCUUUUGGUUGUAGCAUUGGGUGGUAGCAAAACUUUUGGUUGUAGUAUUCCACUUUUCCUAAUAACUUAGUUCUUAAUAAUUUGCUGUGAGACCUUGAAAAUUUGAGUAUAUAUGAUGUGCGACAUCAGCAUGUGAAUUACGGAGACACAACGUAACAGCUUAUCAACCUUUGAAGACAUUGGUACUCAACAUCUUUUUUGACUGUAAAUUUUUUAGAUUUAACUUUUCCUGGAUUAAUUUCUUAGAAAGUCACCAAAUUGAUCAUUUAGAAAAGAAUUAAAAACUACACGGCUUCUUAAAUUUUUGGUAUGUGCAUUAAGAAUUGUGUACUAAUUGCUCAUAAUGUCUGCAUACUGACCUUCAACAUGACCGAAAUCAUCUGAAUUAUGAGAGAAAAAGAUUGGGCACGGUGGUUCAUAGCUAUAAUCCCAGCACUUUGGAAGGCUGAGGUGGGAGGAUUGCCAGAGUUCGAGACCAGCCUGGGCAACAUGGUGAAACCCCAUCUCUACCAAAACUAGGAAAAAACAGCUGGCCAAGGUGGUGUGUGCCUGUUCUCUCAGCUACUCAGGAGGCUGAGGUAGGAGGAUCACUUGAGCCCAGGAAGCAGAGGUUGCAGUGAGCUGAGAUUGUGCCACUGCACUCCAGUCUGAGCAACAGAGUGAGACCUGGUCUAAAAAAACAAAUGCAUAAAUAAAUAAAAAUAAAUAAAUAAGACUUGAACAGACACUUCACUAAAGAUGUAUACAUGACAAAAAAGCAUACCAAAAGAUGUUCAACAUCCUAUGUCAUUACAGAAAUGCAAGUUAAGACAACGAGAUAACACCACACACCUAUGUGAAUGGCCUAAAUCCAGAACACUGACAGCACCAAAUGCUGGGAAGGAUGUGGAGCAAUGGCAACUCCCAGUCACUGCUAGUGGGCAUGCAAACUGAUAUAGUCACUUUGGAAGACAGUCUGGCAGUUUCUUACAAAGCUAAGUCGUUUUACCAUACAACUCAGAAAUCUCACUCCUAAGUAACUGACUUGAAAACUUACAUCCACACAGAAACCUGUACGUGAGUGUUUAUAGCAACUUUUUUCAUAAUCACUAAAAACUGGAAGCAACCAAGACCAAGAUAUCCUUCAAAAGAGAUGUACAAACCGUGGUAUAUCCAAACAAUGGAAUUAGUCAAUAAUAAAAAAGGAAUAAAUGUCAAUAAUAUGAUGACUAAAAGGAAUAAAUGUCAAUAAUAUAAUGACUAAAUGGAAAAAGGACAUUGGGGAAAAAAAUAGGAAAAUCUGUAUAUAUGGACUUCAGUUAAUAGCAAUAUAUGAUUGGCUCAGCAAUUCUAAGAAAUUUAUCAAGCUAAUAUAAAAUGUUAAUAACAGGAUGAUGGGGCUAAGGACACAUUACUGCAAAAUAUGGCACCUUGGCAUUUGAGAAAAUGGCAGGAACUGAAGGUCACACUCACCUUCCCUCCACCCUUCUCCCCGGAGCAAGUCAUAAAAUAGUGUCAGCAGAAAACGCUCAAAACGCUCAAAUUGUUUUUUUUUUUUUUUUUUUCUGUUUUCACAUCACAACAAUUAACAUAGAAGACUUUUGUGAUCCCAAAAUAUGUAUGGAUUUCUCCCCACCAGCAAGCAAGUGAUUGUGCAGCAGACACCAGUGGGGUGUCCUCCAAUUUAGUUCCUACAUUAUCUACCUGGAGUUAGCAGCAGAUCUAGCAGAUUGAGAGCUCAUUCCCAUGAGACUGUCCCCACUUUUGAUGCCAAUGGCAAGUUCAAGGUUAUUUUGCUUGUGCUUCUCAACUAUUGGCUGCAAAUCAGGGUUCCCAAGACUCUCUCUACGAGUUUGAUUAAUUUGUUAGCUUACAUAACUCAGGAAACACUUAUAUUUAGUGGUUUAUGAUAAAGGGUAUUACAAAGAUGAAGAGAUGGAUAGAGUGAGGUAUGGGGGAAGGGGCACAGAGUUUCCAUUCCCUCCCUGAGCAUGCAACCCUCCAGGAACCUCCAUGUGUUCAGCUAUCUGGAAGCUCUCCAUACCCUGUUCCAUGGGCUUUUCAUGGAGUCUUCAUAGGAUAGGCCUUACUGAAGUAUAAACACCUAUGCAGAAAUGUGAUUGGGGCCGGGCAUGGUGGCUCACACCUGUAAUCCCAGCACUUUGGAAGGCCGAGGUGGCUGGAUCACCUGAGGUCAGGAGUUCAAGAGCAGCCUGGCCAACAUGGUGAAACCCUGUCUUUACUAAAAAUACAAAAAUUAGCCAGGUGUGGUGGCGAGUGCCUGUAGUCCCAGCUACUCAGGAAGCUAAGGCAGGAGAAUAACUUGAACCUAGGAGGCAGAGGUUGCAGUGAGCCGAGAUCGUGCCACUCUACUCUAGCCUGGGCAGCAGAGAGAGAUUCCCUCUCAAAAAUAAAAAUAAAAAAAGAAAUGUGACUGGUCCAAAAGGGCAUGAUCGAAUACAAAUAGAUGGAGGGGCUAAACCCAACAAGGCCUGUCUGUUCUGACUCCACUUGGCUUCCCUGUGCAGCAUUCCUUCCUCCAGAUCAUGGGGCAAGGUCCCUUUUAAAACCUGGGUCUUAUGGCCUGCAGUCAGACAAGGUAGGUCUGAGAAUUUCUAUAUGGCCAACUCCAAGACAGAGGGGUGGGGGAAGAUUAGAGUAUAUUUUAGUUUCUAUGACCUGCCUUGGGGAGAAAUAGCAAGAGAUAUGGGAGUUCUGAGUCAGGAAUCAUGGAUGAAAACCAAAAUAAAUAUGUGUUUAAAACAAUAUUGGGCCGGGCGCAGUGGCUCACACCUGUAAUCCCAGCACUUUGGGAGGCCAAGGUGGGUGGAUCACAAGGUCAAGAGAUCGAGACCAUCCUGGUCAACAUGGUGAAACCCCGUCUCUACUAAAAAUACAAAAAAUUAGCUGGGCAUGGUGGCGCAUGCCUGUAGUCCCAGCUACUCAGGAGGCUGAGACAGGAGAAUUGUCUGAACCCAGGAGGCGGAGGUUGUGGUGAGCCGAGAUCGCGCCAUUGCACUCCAGCCUGGGUAACAAGAGCAAAACUCCGCCUCAAAAAACAAACAAACAAACAAUAUCACACCUAAGAAGGAUUUUUUGACCUUCCCGAAGUGGAUCAUUAAAUAGGCACCCACACUGUACUGGCGAAAAAGGAUAUUAUCCUUAUCUCUCAAGAUACAGGAACAUGGAGAGAAAUCUGAACAAACAGGCCUUCUGAGUUCCCCCGGUUUAUUACCAUUAGAUCAUAGCUUUUCAUCCAGUCAUACUUACAGUAAUUAUCUGUCUAUCUUUUGUUAUAGGGGCCUCAACCAUGAACCUAGCAAUAGGUAAGGAAAACAUGUUUUCCUUCCCUUACAAGGAGAGGCUGUGGAAGGGAAGAGGGGGUGGUACAUGGAUACUCUGUACUGUCUGCUCAGUUUCUUUGUAAAUUUAAAAGUGUUUUAAUAAAUAAAAUCUAUUCAUUAAAAAAAAAACAAAGAAUAAAGUUCUUUUGGUGAGUUUAAGAAUGAGAAACAUUUUAACUCAAUUUUUAAAACUCACUGCUUUCUAAUUCACUAUUUAUUAAUUUAUAAAAUUAUGUUAUAUAAUUGAUUACUUUAUUUUAUUCAUAAAGUUAACUUACUUCAUUGAUACCUGAUUAUUCUCAUACCUUUGCCCUAGAGAUCAGAAACUUUUAUUGAGUCUCCUUACUCCCCACAUUAUAGGUUCAAUUGUUUCCUCUAUUUCCUUCUCUUUUCUCAUUUUCUCAAACAAGAUAUAGUUGGGAAAAUUGAUUGUACGAUUAGGGUCUCAUCUGGAGUUGUCGUGUUAGAGAAGGAUUCUUACUGAAUUCAGCGUGACAAGUCACUUUAGGUAACACAAGUUAACUUUGUUUAGGGUGCCACUCAAUACCUAGAAAUCUCUCCCAGGAAAACUGGCUGGUAUCUGGUUUACAGAUGUGAAAUGGACCAAUGCCCUCAGAAACUUGCAUUACUGCAGAGGAAACCUGAGGAAAAGAGGUUCCAAGACUUAGUUUCCUAGCCUCAGGAUGGCAAGUAACAGGAGAUUUGUAAAAGUCUGAGAUCACUUAAGAAAACUUUAAGGCAGACAUUAAUUUGUGCACUCAGUAGUUAUUCAGUAAUAUAAAGUUCUAAAUAUGCAAAAGCAAACUCAAGAAAGCAUCUAUGGUUUAGUAACAAUUUUGCUGCCCUGUGGUAAUAAUUAGGCCAAAUCUAAGGAGACCAGCCUUUUUUUGUGAUCAAAAAUACACUUUUUUGAGAUUACUAUGAUUACAGGUUGAGGAGAGGAGGGAAAUAGACAACCAGGAAAAAUUGUGAAUUACUUUGAAAUGUGGGAAAAAUUAGUGCCCUAUCUAGUAUACCCUUCUCUAACUUUCAUCUUGAGCUAGUUCACACUAGGUAGUUAACUGGAUUUCUUUUUUCUGUGAUGGGAUCUUGCUAUGUUGCCCAGUCUGGACUUGCACUCCUGGGCUCAAGCAGUCUUUCCUUCUUAGCCUCAUGAAUAGCUGGGACUACAGGCAUACACCAGCUGGCCUAGUUAUCAAUACAAAUGACUCUUGACCACAGACGUGAAAAUUAAUCUUGUCCAGUGGAAGUACAAUUAAUUUCUUUCCCUCACCACAAAAGAAGCCAAGUUUGCAUCUAUUGAACAAAUUUAUAUUAACAUUGCUGAUUGCCUCUGCAUGUGUCUGCUCUUGAGGUUUCUCUUUAAUUGGUUGUAACGUGUUACUGUUUCUCAGAUUAAAUAGUGAGCAGAAUAAACUCUGAUAUGUGUUCAUUUUAUAUUGGUAAGAGAGUCAUGAUUUUACUCUUUAAAACAAAUAGUAUACUAAACAAUUGAUUUAAUAAAACCAAAAUCGAAGGUUUAUCAAACUCUUUAUAUGCUUAAUGACAGAGUUUGGAUUGUAUAUGUAGAGGUCAGAGGCUUGAUUCCAAUGUAGGAGAUGAGGGCUGGAGAUGAAAAGGGUGGGUGCAAUUGCUCAGGGCAAAGGAAAGCAGUGAGCCAAGCCAUUUCUCUCUACAGACCAAUGUUUGAGAGGCAGGUGGAGGAAGAGAGAAACCAAGAAGGGGCCAGGCGCGGUGGCUCACGCCUAUAAUCGCAGCACUUUGGGAGGCCAAGGCAGGUGGAUCACAAGGUCAAGAGAUCAAGACCAUCCUGGUCAACAUGGUGAAACCCCGUCUCUACUAAAAAUACAAAAAUUAGCUGGGCAUGGUGGUAGCCCCUGUAGUCCCAGCUACUCGGGAGGCUGAGGCUGGAGAAUUGCUUGAACCCAGAAGGCGGAGGUUGCGGUGAGCCGAGAUCGCGCCAUUGCACUCCAGUCUGGGUAACAACAGCGAAACUCUGCCUCAAAAAAAAAAAAAAAGAAAAAGAAACCAAGAAGGAAUAGUUGGAGAAGCAGAGGAUUUCCAUAAGAUGCCAGCAGUCAGCAGAGUCAAAUGCUGCAGAGACAAGGCAGUGCAAAGACUAAACACAACCUAGCACACCCACUGGAUUGGACCAUGUGUGGCUCUGGCCAGUGCAGUUCUUGUCAAGUGAUGGAGGCAGCCAAGGAAUCAGUGAUGUGACUGGGAGGUGAGAAUUUGAAGGAUCAAGUGGGUACAUCUUUGAAGAAGGCUUUAAUUUGAGAGGAAGGACUUAGUUAAGAGGUGGCUGAAGGUGGAGAGAGGGGAUUAUUUAUGGGUGGAGAACCCAGUGGUGGUUGGAAAAAAGGAUCUGGAACUCAGGAGCAGCCCACUGGUCUGGGGCAGGAGGAAGGACCCUAGUGAUCUGACCUGGCGGGGAGGAGAGAGGGUGGACAGGGAUGGACAUAAGCUUGUCAGUCAGGAUAUGGGCAGCAUAGAGGAAAUUUAGAAUCACUGGCCUCAACUUUCUGGAUGAAGUCAAAUAGGUGAGAACUCACCAGGGAGCUUAAGGUGAGGGGGACAUUCAGAGCUGUUACUGAGAGGGAACUGAGAAAGAAUGGCUGAGAACAAAUAGAGAGCGCACGAAGCAGCCCUGCGGGCCUCCCUGAGGAUGCACUUUGCAAUGGAUCUGGUACUCAUGGUCCUGAGAUAUUUUCCAGUAGAGAUCAACCACUCAGGAGAGGGCCACAGAUGACACACAAUGGAAUUGAUUUUCCAGGGCUGAGGUUUACUCAGGCAAGGGCAGAAAAAAACUUGCAUGGCCAGAACAAACCAGAACUUUGAAAGAUGCUGGAAGGGAAAGGUAAACUGUGGCAACUGCAGGUGUUCUGGAAUGAUUUGUGGCAUCUGUCCUCUAUGACAAAGAUUUCAGGGUGGACGAGUCCCCCUCAGAAUGUGGGUUAGUAUGCUGAAGAGUAGAAAGGAGGUCAUGGGUCAUAUGAUCUGUGUAGCCUUAGGAAAAUCACUUAACCUCCCCGAUCGCAGUUGCCUCAUCAUCUGUCUAAUGAGAACACUGAGUCAGAUCAUUCCCUGAGUUUCCUCUAGCAAGUACCACAAUAUUUGUGGCCAGUGGACUAUUUAGGGAUGAGCUGUCAAUAUCUGAGGUCCUCUCUACCAUCUUUCUUAUUGGAAAACUACCAUGCUUCCUCAAUAAUCCUUGGUCUUUCCAGAAAGUUCUAUCAUCCAUCCACCCAUCCAGUUUUAUAUGAAUUUGAUAAACAAGUUGUGAAUUCUCUAAGCUCCAUCUACACUUCCAAGACCAGAUUGUCCUGGUGGGUGGCAGUGGGGCCAAUGGUCAGAGCAGAGGUUCCCUCCACAUUGUCUACCUGGCUAAUCAUUUCACAUCCUUGCAGAGGCUGGUGUGGAUCAGCCAAUUAGAUGACCUCCUGCAGUGCAAUCAGCUUUGUUUUCAAAAAGCAAACAUAUUAAUGACUAUUAGUCUCAUCUGCUAUGUCUUUCCUUUGUAAUAUUUUAACUUAAAAAUUAUGGUAAAAUAUACAUAACAUAAAAGUGACCAUACUGAAUAUUUUAAUUGUACAGUUAGGUGGCAUUAAGUACAUUCACAUUGUGGUGCAAUCAUCACCAUCAUCUAUCUUCAGACCUUUUUAAUUAUCCUGAAAUGAAACUCUACUAAUGAAACAAUAACUCCCAAUGCCCUCUUCCCAUAGCCCCCAGCAACCACUAUUUUACUUUCCACUUCUAUGAAUUUGAGGCUACUUGUCUACUCUCCACUUCUAUGAAUGUGAAUUCCACUUGUCUCAGAUAUUUUUAUUUUACUUUCCAAUUCUAUGAAUUUGAAUUCCACUUGUCUCAAAUAACUAGAACCAUAUUUGUCCCUUGGUGUCUGGCUUAUUUUGUUUAGCAUAGUAUCCUCAAUAAAUCCAUAUUAUAACAUGCCAAAAUUUCCUUUCUUUUUAAAGUGAAUAAUAUUUUAUAAUUUGGAAAAAGCACAGUUCAUUCAUUCUUCUGUAGAUAGACAUCCGGGUUGGUUUUAGCUUUCAGGUAUUGUGAGUAAUGCUGCUGAUACAGUUUGGCUUUGCGUCCCUACCCAAAUCUCAUGUCAAAUUGUAAUCCCCAUGUGUUGGAGGUGGGGCCUGGCAGGAGGCUAUUGGAGCAUGGGGGUGGUUUCUAAUGGUUUAGCACCAUUCCCUAGUACUGUCUCAUGAUAGAGUUCUCAUGAGAUCUGGUUGUUUAAACGGUGUGACACUUCCCUCCUCUCCUCUCUCUCUCUCCUGCUCCUCCACCGUGAGAUGUGCUUAUUUCCCCUUCACCUUCCGUUAUGAUUGUAAGUUUCCUGAGGCCUCCCAGUUAUGCUUCUUGUUAAGCCUGUGGAACUGUGAGCCAAUUAAACCUUUCCUCAUAAAUUACCCAGUCUCGGGUAGAUCUUUACAGUAGUGUGAAAAGGGACUAAUAUAUCUGCUGUGACCACUAAACAUUUUUAAAUGGAUACACAUGAACUAAAAAGGAGAGAAAUGUAGAAUCAUGAGAUUGAAUAUCAGAGAGACAAGAACUGCUUGCAUCUAUGAAUCAGUAGAAAGAGGGUGCCCAGGUCAGACUACAUCGAUGAUUUGGCCAGAAAAGAGCUUGCUCCCUGGCUGCUUGGCUUAGGGAGAGUUUGUUUCCUCACCUUGGUCUUUCAGGGCUGUGGGAGAGUGAGCUGCAAGACUGCCCAGCUGGCACUCUUCCUGAAUGUGCAAGAAUGGAUUUCUCUCUGCAUUCAAGGAGGCCAUGCAGAAAUAGGGACCUCUUAAUCUUUGUGCUUUGAGGGACCAUAUCUUCUUCCCUCCUCUAGAAACUCUGUGUCCACAUAGGCAGCAUUGUGUGCUGUGGGGGGUUGGGGGUUAGAAAGUCUGUCAACUGAUUGACUGGAUGACUGAUGUGUUCACUCAUUGACUAGAACUAAUGCCCUUGGGGUUCUAAGGCACAGAGGUGCAAGGCAAGGUUCAUACUGGAGGAGCCCUCAGUUGACAGCCAGGAGAAAAAGGAGGAUCUGAGAGACAAUUAAGCACUCAGGUGAUGCCACCUCUGUUAUUGAUAUUUUCUAUUUGCUACCUACAUUCAUUGCAAUUGACUUUUGAGAAGGAGACGCCAUUGUAUUUGGGUUCUUAGUGUCUAAAGAUGAUCAUAAAAUGCCUUCCAUGAAAUCUUUCCAUGAAAGAUUCUUUGCAAAUUUGAGUUAAUCAUAGAUGCUUGAGACAAGAUACAGAAAGGACUAAUCAUAAAAGAAAAAUAACUGGUAAAUUGGACUUCACUACAAUUAAAACUUUCUGCCUAUUCAAAUAUGCCAUUAAGAAAAUGAAUAUAGAAACCACAAAUAGGGAAAACUAUUUGUAGAGCCCAUAUCUGAAAAAAAGUUUAUAUUUGGAAUAUGUUAUUAAUAAAAUAAUAAAAAGAUAAUUCAAUUUUUAAAUGAACAAAAGACUUGAGCAGGUACUUCACAAAAGAAUAUGUGUAAAUGGACAACAAAAGAAAAUAUGCUCACAUUAUUAGUCAUCAAGAAAAUGCAAAUUAAAGCCACCAUGAGAUUCUACUUAUUCGCACACUAGAGGCUAAAAUUUUUUUUUUAAAAAAAGGACAAUACUAAAUUUUAGUGAGGAUGUGGAACAAUGGGAAUUGUCACAGAUGACGAUGAGAAAGUCAAAAGGCAUAACCGCUUUGGAGAACUGUGUGAUGGUUUCUAGUAAAUUUAACCAGAAAACUACCUUGUGCCCUAGCAAUUCCACUCCUAGGUAUUUGCCCAAGAGAUAAAGAAACAAAAAAGACUAGCACAAAAAUAUUCAUAAGAGCCUUAUUGAUAACUCAAACUGGAAACAGACCAAAUGUUCAUCAACAGAAGAAUAGAUUUUUAAAUUGUGGCAUAGUCACAUGCUAGAAUAAACAAAUGAAUACAUUCUGUUUGAUUCCAUUUAUGAAGUUCAAAAACAGACAAAACUAAACUAUGGCAAUUGAUGUCAGAAAAUGGUUGCCUUUGGGUCAAAGGGUGGUAAACGAACUGAAAAGGCGAAUGAGAGAACUUUCUAGAGUGGUGGAAAUGUUCUGUGUUUUUGCCUUGCAUACACAAUUGUCAGAACUCAUUGAACUGAUCCCUUAAGAUCUUUUUAUGUUUUUGUAUGCUAAUCAUGUUGAAAGGAAGAAAGGGAGGAAGGAAAGAAAGGAAGGAAAAAGGGAGAGAGGGAGGGAGGAAAGGAAAGAAGGGAAAAAAGGAGAGAGGGAAGGAGGAAGAAAGGAAAGAAUAAGGAAGGAAAGAAGGAAAAAGAAAAGGAACGAAAAGCAAGAAUGAAAGAAGGAAGGCAGGCCUAUAGUCUGGUUAAAGAGUUUUGAGGAAAUGCUUACGCCUAGAACAUGGGUGCUGUGUGGGAAAGGGGUAGGAAAGGAGGCCAGCCCUUGCUUAUACAGACCAAGCUGACUAUGACUUUUUAUUUUUUUUUCUGCAGGCAGAGGAGACCUGAGUAAUUCUAUGAAGGUGAAUUACAUUCGUGCCUUGGAAAGGCUACCUUAAUGAUAGAUGAGAUAUGGGGAGUUGGACAUCUGCUGUGACCAGAGGGCUGUUACAGAAGGGAAUUUGGAGAUUCCAGUUGGUUACAGGGGCACAUGCAAUGUUAUUUUUAACCUCCCUUACAGGAGGGACUGGCAUUUCUUUGGUUGCUAGGGAAAUUGUGUUCUGAACAGUUACACAUUGGUUCCUAAUUUUAAAAGUCUUAGGGAAAACUAGAACAUUUUAUGAGCCAGUACCAGUGUGCUGUGCUAGGACUGUGCACCUGCUAAAACGUGGCUAUUGUUCUCUUAAUGUACUCGUGGGUAACUGUCACCAUAGCAACAACAACGCGGGACCUUGCUGGUUCAUAGCGGAGGAUUCCUGUUGGUUUAGUGAUGGAGGCCAGUCCAGAAGCCCAUUCAGGAUUGCAGGAAGGUGUUGAAUUAGGUGGGAUACACUGGCAGCCACUGGAUGUGCAAGGCACAGGGUGGGAAGGUGUGCGCAGAGGGUCAUCCGGCAGGAGGAACACAGGAUUUCUCACAGCCCACUGGGCUCAUCAUUACUAUUGGGCAAAUUCCCACAUUCCCUCAGUAUUAGGCUAAAGUUUAAUGUGACAUCCUACGGGUGGCACUAAGAGAAGAAUCCCGAAUUUCCCGCUGAGUUUGGAGUCAGACCUUGGUCAAGUUAGCAGAGCACCAAGGUAUAGCUGGGGGGGGGUCUGGCUUCCCCAUCAUCCAUCAGCACUGUUAUCCAGCAAAAGAGACUCGCUGCCCAAUGUGCUGGAAGCCAGUACUGUGACACCAGGGUUUUAAGAAAAGAAAAGCUUUAUGUCAAAAGUCCACUCACAAGGAGGCAAGAGUCAAGCUCAAAUCCCUUUCCCCAGGCUGACUUCAAGGCAGUAUUUUAUUAGAAAAGGUUCAGGGGCCGGACUCUGGGAUUAGAUGGGGCUUGGUGGAAGGAAAGGGGAGGGCUGAAAAGUCUUGGGCAUGCGCAGUAACGUCUCCCUGUUACCUCAUGGGUCCCAUGUGCAAAUUCAGAGGGAAUUAGAAUGGAACAUGCGGUGGAAAUUCAGGCUCUGACGUCAGCAACCUCGUUUUGCAAAAGCUCCAGUUGGCCACCUUGGUUCCAACUGAGUUCAGCUGGCUUUUCUUGAUCUCAUAAGCAGAGGGAGUUUCAGUGGUUCAGCAAGUUGGUUUUUUUCUUAUCUACUCUCCUGCAAACACGAGAAUUUCUGUAAGCUCCUGGUUUCUUACUCUUUGGGGCACAGUUUCCGUUUCAGCUUUUCAGCAAGUUGUUUCCUAUCUGUCGCCCUGUAAGCCCAAGAAUUUAGUCAUUUGUUUCUUCAACGGUUGGAGGCAGGGUGUCAGCACCCACUAGUAGUAUGGACAACUGACAUUAAUCUUACGUGAAGUGCAAAUAAGACGCAGCUUAACCCACUCGCUCCAUAGACAAUGGACUGCACUGUCUCUGGUACAGCCCAGGCCUGCGUCUUGGUAUCCCUGACCAUUUCAACCCCCAUUUUAGUGUUCUUUCCUCCUCACUGCCAAAAAGCCAUUUUAGGCAGCUUGUGGGUGCUUUUCAGAAGCGAUGUGUGUGUGAGAGAGGAAGGAGCCAAAACCCUUUGUUUUGGCUUUAAACCCGUCUGUGUAAGUGAGACUGAGUGGAAAGCCCCUGCUCCUCUCUCCAGCACUCCCUAAGGCAGGCAGCCACAACCUCCUCAAUUGCAGAUCAGAAGGGGGCCUUUGGAAAUUAUCCAGCCAGUGAAUCUCUUCAUUCUCCCCUGCCACAUCACACAUGAUGGAUGAAGUCCACAUGCUUGACAGGAUUCCAUGUAUGCACGUACUUUAAUGGAACAGCCAAAAACAUUGUGUGAGGAAAUAAUUGCCCUCAGAAAAGGAAAUUUUCUUUUCCUGAGUGUACUCUGCCAUGAUAACCCUUCCUUCCCACUCAGGAUGUAUUUUGAAUGCAGGUAGGUUAGCAUGAAUUUAUCUUGUACUAAUCUCCAAUCAACUCAAGUUGUUUUGCAGCGUGAACUCAUCCACACAUCUUCCCGAAGACGGAUAAAUCACGGUGCCCCAGCAGCUCCUCUUCACCUCCCAGAUAACACCUGCUGCCAGCCCUGCAAUUCUUUGGAGCCCCCUGAGUUGACUGUUGUGUCCUCAGCUUCCAUACCACAACUUAACACUAUUGAAAGAGAUGGAUAAGGGGCUCCUGGUAAUCUCUAGAUGUGUGCAGCAUUGAUUGAUAGGAAUAAGAGGUUUCUGUUUUUGUGCUACACCCCUUCCUUUAGAAUGUUGACUUUUUGCACCUGCCUCAAUAUUUGUAUCAGAAGAAUCAAGGUGUGGACAUGAGCUUCCUACACAUUUUCCCCAGCAUCUAGAGAGCAUAAGUGAGAAGGACGGAGACACGCCCGUCGGCACAGGCAUUCACAUCCCCUUCAAAGCCCUCCAUGGGCUCUCAACACACCCAGAGACAGGAGCUCUCCCUGGAACUACCCCCACAUGGUUAUUCUCUCAGGAGGUGGGAGGGGAGGGAGCUCUCCCUGGGGAAGGAGGAUCAGAAUCUUCUUCUAGCAAGAAGGUGGGGGAAGAGCGUUAUGUGUAAUAGAGACCGCACAGUCCACUCCCUCCUGCCCCAUAAUUAUCAGAGUCCUGCUCUAGGGACCAGCAGGGGUCAGCUCCAGAGUGACAUUUUCUUUUCUACCUGUGCUACUGUCUGGAAAACCAUGAAGUCCAGGACUAUGAGGAGAAUGUCAGCCAGGAUAGUGCCCAGUGUAGUGUUUCUUUACAGAAGUUCAAGACUGCUAGGCUGGGUGCAGGGGCUCAUGGCUGUAAUCCCAGUACUUUGAGAGGCAGGCAGAUCACAGAAGGCCAGGAGUUUGAGACCAGCCUGGCCAACAUGGUGAAACCCCUUCUCUACUGAAAAUACAAAAAAAAAAUUAGCUGUGGGUGAUGGUGGCACCAGUAGUCCCAGCUACUGGGGAGGCUGAGGCAGGAGUAUUACUUGAACCCAGGAGGUGGAGGUUGCAGUGAGCCAAAAUCACGCCACUGUACUUAAUCCUGGGCACCAGAGCAAGACUCUGUCUCACAUUAAAAAAAAAAAAAAAAAAAGACUUAGCCAUCUAGGAGGAGGUGGAAGGGAACGCUGCAAUCUGCCCAAGGUGACCAUGUAUUAGUUGUGACCCCGGAGGGAUAAUUCCAUCAAUUUGAAUAGGACUAGUAUAUGCCCAUCAUCAGCACCACCACCAUCAUCAUCUUCCCAAUUCUUCCUGGGAAGAUCAUCCCUGUGAUCCCACAAGCCUGUCAGUGAAGGUUCCCGGCAGUGGGGUUGGUCCAGAACAGAAUUAACUUGAAUUUGAUGGAUUUAAGGCAAUUUCUCUCAAGUCUCAUGCAGAAAACAAGCCCUCAUGUAUUGUUUUGUGUUUUGCUUGUUGUUGUCCUCAUCUUCCCAGAGUUGAAAUAUCAUGGAGACCCUCUUCCCAGGGAAAGAAAGGAGGAAAUUUGACCACUGGAAAGAGUGAGAGUGAGAUCUUCUCCUGACUUUGCAUUCUUGAAGACUGCAUGGUCCUGGCAUGUUUUGUUUGGAUGCUAAAUUAAGUGGAGAGGAGACUUUAUGAUGAGCGCCCAGGGAGCAAGAGAAGCCCUGAGACAGUGGCAAGGGACACUGUGGGGCCGCAGAAUGCAUCCAGGAGGGAUGGUUAUGGUGGACCUGAAACACCUCAACAGAGUGUUUGUGAGGACAGCCUUUGUGAGGAGCUGAGCUGAGCUGAGCUGAGCUGGCAUUUGGAAGCAGAACCUCAGAGAGACCCAGUUCUGAUGGAAUUGAGAGAGGAUGACGUGGGAGUCUGUAUAAGGAAAGUCUUGUAACAGAGGGCACUGCAACAGGUGCUCUCAAAAGGACCUUCAGCCUGAGAAGUGUAAGAGUUAAAGAAAGAGGAAAGAAACAUGAAAUGUGGCUUGACAGUUAAAGACAGAUUUAUUUCAGAGAAAAUAAACAUGAGAGGGGCUUCUGGCCAAUUUCAGUCAGGAGUGCUUGCUGUUACAGACUAAGAGUACAUGUUAGUUUUAGGGUGAGGGGGCUUAUUGCAAGCUUGGAAUAUUUCUGUGUAAGGGAGAAGUUUUAUGGUGAGGUUGGAAUGUCUCCAGAAGGAGGGGAGGUUAUCUUGGGGAUGACGUCUUUCCAGCUGGAGGGUUGGUGUCUUCCCAGCUGGAGUGGGGUUAUCUCAGGGCUAGCAUGUCUCUGGUUGGGGAGGAGUUUGAAAUGUUUCUGGUUGAAGAUGUUAUUUGUGGUUUAAGGUCAUGCUGACCUUAGCCAUUGGGCUGAUGCCCUUUGGAUUUAGGCGGUUUUUGAUUAAGGUAAACCUUAGAAUGAGGAGCUUGUCUAAGAUGGUGAUGCUCCUGCUCUGCUGAGAAGCAGCCUGGGAGGCAGGUGGGAGCACUGUGGGUCCAGCUCUGGUGGUCUUUAAGAACAAAUUGUAGGGAUGUGGGCUUGGUGGAAACUUAGAUUUAAAAAGUCUAAAUAGACUUUAAAAGAUCAUCCAUUUCAACUCCUUCAUUUUACAGAUGGGGAAACUGAGGCCCAGAAUGAUGAAGAUUCCUGCCUAUGUUUAGAAGGAAUAAAAUAUAUAUUUAGUUCCCAAUCGAACGGGGCAAAAAUUGUUAACAUCCAUGUGUUCUCCUUUCCCCAUCCCUGAGACAGAGAAGGUGGCAGCUCAGCCCUCCCUGUUUCCUGGCCCAUGACCGCUUCGUCCACCAAAGGGGCUUGCGGUGGUUUAUUAAAAUGGCUGCAAGUCCUCUGGCACUCCUUCAUGGAGAAGUGGAGUCUAUUUGCCUUCUCUAGGAGUUGGAUAGGCUUGUGCUGGUUUUCACCUGUGAUCAGAGCAUGCCUUGGAAGCCCAGGCCCCCCAGGAAGUCCCUGUCUACGUGCCCCUGUCAACAGCCCUCACUGAGCUGGGCUUUUCAGUCUACCCAGCCUGGGUACCAGAUGUGGGGAAGUUUCCAGCAAGGAAGACUUCAGCCCGUGCCAAUGAAUUCUUCCCAGCUGAGGCCCAGACUUCGGGAGCAGAGACAAGCCAUCCUCAUGCCCUGUGUCAACCUGAAAUAAGUGAAAGGAUUGGAAUCCACUUUAAAGAGUUUAUUCAAGCAAAAAGCUAGGAAUGACCAUUCGGAAAACAAGGGUUCCACAGAAAUGGAGUUAGUGCUCUGAAGUCAAAAGUUAAGAUCCUGCUUAUGUAGGAGGAAAACAAAGAAAUUGAACACGAUUACGACAUUUUCUAUACAAGCCUGUUUUAUGAGUUCUAACAAUUUAUAGUUUGUUUUCUUUUCUGUAUGGCUUGCUUUCAUUUAUUUUCUAUCUUAAAGGAAUAUAUUUAACAUAGUCACAAA